This 449-nucleotide ribosomal RNA is filed under the name uncultured bacterium. RNAcentral's name for it is "bacterial SSU rRNA". It matches the Rfam family "Bacterial small subunit ribosomal RNA", at positions 330 to 794 of the family's 1533-position model. The record is from RNAcentral.
UCCAGACUCCUACGGGAGGCAGCAGUGGGGGAUAUUGCACAAUGGGGGAAACCCUGACCCAGCAACGCCGCGUGAAGGAAGAAGGCUUUCGGGUUGUAAACUUCUUUUGACAGGGAAGAGCAGAAGACGGUACCUGUCGAAUAAGCCACGGCUAACUACGUGCCAGCAGCCGCGGUAAUACGUAGGUGGCAAGCGUUGUCCGGAUUUACUGGGUGUAAAGGGCGUGUAGCCGGGCUGACAAGUCAGAUGUGAAAUCCGGGGGCUCAACCCCCGAACUGCAUUUGAAACUGUUGGUCUUGAGUAUCGGAGAGGCAGGCGGAAUUCCUAGUGUAGCGGUGAAAUGCGUAGAUAUUAGGAGGAACACCAGUGGCGAAGGCGACCUGCUGGACGACAACUGACGGUGAGGCGCGAAAGCGUGGGGAGCAACCAGGAUUAGAUACCCGCGUAGC